RNAcentral lists this long non-coding RNA (201 nucleotides) under Carica papaya (papaya). RNAcentral describes it as "long non-coding RNA (CPAP_LNC011542)". Lineage: Eukaryota; Viridiplantae; Streptophyta; Magnoliopsida; Brassicales; Caricaceae. The record is from RNAcentral.
UCUGCUAUGUUGUAGGAGAUAGACCUUUCGGUUGGGCAAUAGUCAGGGGUGGGGGUGUUGGCACUGGUUUGUUUAGUUUUGGCCUAUGGCUACGGUUAAACCCAGGAUGGCUCAGAAGAGUUCAGUAAACUCAGCCCUAGUCAAGUGAUCCGGGGCUUCAGGUCUUUCGAUACGCUCUAAAGAAGGCCUUCCUCGCGUCAU